GCCCCCGUGGCGGAAUUGGAAGACGCGCAUGGUUUAGGACCAUGUCCCGCAAGGGGUGGAGGUUCAAAUCCUCCCGGGGGCACCG
Molecule: transfer RNA, 85 nt
Filed under: Calditrichota bacterium
Lineage: Bacteria; Pseudomonadati; Calditrichota
Description: Calditrichaeota bacterium tRNA-Leu
Rfam family: tRNA
About the family: Transfer RNA (tRNA) molecules are approximately 80 nucleotides in length. Their secondary structure includes four short double-helical elements and three loops (D, anti-codon, and T loops).
Source: RNAcentral